RNAcentral lists this ribosomal RNA (588 nucleotides) under uncultured Actinomycetes bacterium. RNAcentral describes it as "bacterial SSU rRNA". It matches the Rfam family "Bacterial small subunit ribosomal RNA", at positions 31 to 635 of the family's 1533-position model. The record is from RNAcentral. Lineage: Bacteria; Bacillati; Actinomycetota; Actinomycetes.
GAACGCGGCGGGCGCUUAUGCCUGCAGUGAGCGAAGCUUCAGUAGUUUACUACAGAAAAUGACUGAGCGGCGAACGGGUGAGUAACGCGUGAGCAAUCUACCUUAGUUACAGGGAUAGCCCGAGGAAACUCGGAUUAAUACCUGAUAUUCUUUAUUUCUCGCAUGAGAAUAAAAGGAAAGGUCAGCCGAACUAAGAUGAGCUCGCGUUCUAUCAGCUAGUUGGUGAGGUAAAAGCUUACCAAGGCUACGACGGAUAGCUGGUCUGAGAGGACGAUCAGCCACACUGGGACUGAGACACGGCCCAGACUCCUACGGGAGGCUGCAGCAGGGAAUAUUGUGCAAUGAACGGAAGUUUGACACAGCGACACCGCGUGUGGGAUGACGGAUCUAGGUUUGUAAACCACUUUCAGGAGGGAAGAAAAUGACGGUACCUCCACAAGAAGCCCCGGCCAACUACGUGCCAGCAGCCGCGGUAAUACGUAGGGGGCGAGCGUUGUCCGGAUUUAUUGGGCGUAAAGAGCUCGUAGGCGGUUCAACAAGUCGGUCGUGAAAGUUCAGGGCUCAAACCUGAAAUGUCGAUCGAUACUG